RNAcentral lists this ribosomal RNA (433 nucleotides) under uncultured bacterium. RNAcentral's name for it is "partial 16S ribosomal RNA". It matches the Rfam family "Bacterial small subunit ribosomal RNA", at positions 29 to 507 of the family's 1533-position model. The record is from RNAcentral.
AACGAACGCUGGCGGCAUGCCUAACACAUGCAAGUCGAACGAGACCUUCGGGUCUAGUUGCGCACGGGUGCGUAACGCGUGGGAACCUUCCCUUAGGUUCGGAAUAACUCCCCGAAAGGGGUGCUAAUACCGGAUAAUGUCUUCGGACCAAAGAUUUAUCGCCUUUGGAUGGGCCCGCGUUGGAUUAGCUAGUUGGUAGGGUAAAAGCCUACCAAGGCGACGAUCCAUAGCUGGUCUGAGAGGAUGAUCAGCCACACUGGGACUGAGACACGGCCCAGACUCCUACGGGAGGCAGCAGUGGGGAAUAUUGGAAAAUGGGCGAAAGCCUGAUCCAGCAAUGCCGCGUGAGUGAUGAAGGCCUUAGGGUUGUAAAGCUCUUUUACCCGGGAUGAUAAUGACAGUACCGGGAGAAUAAGCACCGGCUAACUCCGUG